ACUCCUACGGGAGGCAGCAGUGGGGAAUAUUGGACAAUGGGGGCAACCCUGAUCCAGCCAUGCCGCGUGAGUGAAGAAGGCCCUAGGGUCGUAAAGCUCUUUCAACUGUGAAGAUAAUGACGGUAGCAGUAGAAGAAACCCCGGCUAACUCCGUGCCAGCAGCCGCGGUAAUACGGAGGGUGCGAGCGUUAAUCGGAAUUACUGGGCGUAAAGCGCAUGCAGGCGGCCUGUUAAGUCAGAUGUGAAAGCCCGGGGCUUAACCUCGGAAUUGCAUUUGAAACUGGCAGGCUAGAGUCUUGUAGAGGGGGGUAGAAUUUCAGGUGUAGCGGUGAAAUGCGUAGAGAUCUGAAGGAAUACCAGUGGCGAAA
Molecule: ribosomal RNA, 368 nt
Filed under: uncultured bacterium
Lineage: Bacteria
Description: bacterial SSU rRNA
Rfam family: Bacterial small subunit ribosomal RNA
Source: RNAcentral